UACGGGGGGGGUAAGCGUUGUUCGGAAUUACUGGGCGUAAAGGGCUCGUAGGCGGCCAACUAAGUCGGACGUGAAAUCCCUCAGCUUAACUGGGGAACUGCGUCCGAUACUGGAUGGCUUGGAUUUGGGAGAGGGAUGCGGAAUUCCAGGUGUAGCGGUGAAAUGCGUAGAGAUGCGGAGGAACACCGAUGGCGAAGGCAGCCCCCUGGGCCAACACUGACGCUCAGGCACGAAAGCGUGGGGAGCAAACAGG
Molecule: ribosomal RNA, 253 nt
Filed under: uncultured bacterium
Lineage: Bacteria
Description: partial 16S ribosomal RNA
Rfam family: Bacterial small subunit ribosomal RNA
Source: RNAcentral